GUCUUCUUGGUUGAAUAAGAAGUCUGACCUGCCCGGUGAUAUAUAAUUUUAACGGCCGCGGUAUUUUUGACCGUGCAAAGGUAGCAUAAUCAUUAGUCUUUUAAUAGGGGGCUGGUAUGAAGGGUUUGACGAGGAGUUGACUGUCUCAUUUGAUUUUAUUUUAGAAUUUAACUUUUCAGUUAAAAGGCUGAAAUUUCAUUGGAAGACGAGAAGACCCUAUAGAGUUUGAUAAUUAAUUUUAUAAUUAUGCAUAAUAUUUAAUGUAUACAUUUAAUUAUUUUGUUGGGGUGACAAAAAUAUAUAAUUAACUUUUUUAUUUAUUUAUCAUUGAUAUAUGUACUUAAGAUCCAGUCUUAUUGAUUGUUAGAAUAAGUUACCUUAGGGAUAACAGCGUAAUCUUUCUUUGGAGUUCUUAUUUACAGAAAGGCUUGCGACCUCGAUGUUGGAUUAAGAUAACAGUUAGGUGUAGCCGCUUAAUGUGUGGGUCUGUUCGACCUUUAAAUUCUU
This 507-nucleotide ribosomal RNA is filed under the name Ictinogomphus pertinax. RNAcentral describes it as "partial 16S rRNA". It matches the Rfam family "Bacterial large subunit ribosomal RNA", at positions 1831 to 2597 of the family's 2925-position model. Lineage: Eukaryota; Metazoa; Arthropoda; Insecta; Odonata; Gomphidae. The record is from RNAcentral.